AUACAUACCUAGAAGGGGAAAUACCAUGAUGAAGACGAUGGUUUUCCUAAGGCUAAGCCUGUCCAUUGCACUCCAGGUGUGCUGAUUGCCAUGAUAUCCUCAAAUCUGGCAUGCUCCGCUGCAGAAUUUGUGAAAGUGGGAGAUUGCAUUUGCCCUCUGCUG
Small nuclear RNA from Microtus ochrogaster (prairie vole), 162 nucleotides. Its record names the gene U1. It matches the Rfam family "U1 spliceosomal RNA". From Rfam's summary of the family: U1 is a small nuclear RNA (snRNA) component of the spliceosome (involved in pre-mRNA splicing). Its 5' end forms complementary base pairs with the 5' splice junction, thus defining the 5' donor site of an intron. The record is from Ensembl. Lineage: Eukaryota; Metazoa; Chordata; Mammalia; Rodentia; Cricetidae.